GGAUCAGGCAAAUCUGGCCAUAAACAAGCGAUGGAGUCUGGCUAUGUUGCCCACACCGGUCUUGAACUCCUGACCUCAAGCAAUCCUCCCUCCUCGGCCUUCCAAAGUGUUGGGAUUACAGGUCUGAGCCACCCCAUCUGGCCUAAAAUGUUUUGAAUUAAUGAAAACAAUACUGUACCAAUCAAGAGAAGUAGGAUGGAGGAUCUGGUGAAAAAGAGAUUGCUUCUGACAAGCCUGCCCGCUGCGUGGCUUUUCCAGCUACACUGACUAGCAUUGUGUUCACCUGGAGAGAGGAGAUUCUAAACCAUCCACUCCCUGUUGAUCCUUAGUUUCUGGCUGGUGACACACCAGAAGGAUAAGAUGGCUCCAAUCUCCCUGAUGAAGGGGUAAUCACCUGACUUUCUCUUGGAAACAGAGGCACUGGUUCAGGUCCACAACAAUGAACUUGGAGAGCAAUAACCUCUGUGUGCACAGUCAUUGCUGGCUGAAUCAAAAGGCAGGCAUUAGGGAUAAACACUGUCUUUUAAGAAUAGGAGUGAAUGUCUAUACAUUUCUGACAAACGCAGUUUUAUUUAAAAAAAAAAAAAAAGUGGAGACUGGGAAGACCAGAGAGGGAGGGGCAAAUGAAGGGGCAAAGGAAAGAAGCCCAGUUUCUGGAAUUAUUCAACUAAGUAUGCUUUUAAAAGCUAACAACCACAAAACCCUAAGCCAAACCCUGUUUACUGGCCCCUUGCUAGCCUUGUGUGUUUGCACUCUUGCUCCAUAACGGCUUGUAAAUACCACCAUGUAAAACCUUGAAGGCAAACAGAAGACAAGAAGGGACAAGCUGCAUGUGCUAGGGGUGAAUGAAGUAUGCGUCAAGGUAUUUGGAUGGAGAUGUGCCCAGAAUCUUCCUAGUCAAGCUUAAUAAACUUUGGCCCAAGGUCCUCUCCUGUUAUUGAAACUCUUUCAUCUGGCAGAUCUUUUUCUCAGAUCCAAAUUGGUGCCUCCCACCCUUCCCCAAACUGAACAAUAAAACCAAAAUAAGGAGGAAGCCUAAAAUUAGGAACUAUAAGCAUAUCACUGGUAAAAUAACAAGACACUGUUGGCCGGGCACGGUGGCUCACGCCUAUAAUCCC
This 1118-nucleotide non-coding RNA is filed under the name Pan troglodytes (chimpanzee). The record is from RNAcentral. Lineage: Eukaryota; Metazoa; Chordata; Mammalia; Primates; Hominidae.